RNA transcript from Aethalodelphis obliquidens (Pacific white-sided dolphin), 3655 nucleotides. It is a transcript of the gene named major facilitator superfamily domain containing 8, with no coding region annotated. The record is from RefSeq and is a predicted model, not a curated record. NCBI's taxonomy places the organism in Eukaryota, Metazoa, Chordata, Mammalia, Artiodactyla, Delphinidae. The transcript is spliced from 10 exons.
GACAGCUUCAGGCCGCCUGGAAUGGGAGGGAGCAGGAGGUAUCGCGAGAGUUGGCCCCAAGCCUUGUGGGAACAGUAAUUAUGGCGAGCUUGGGGGUAGAGGCUGAGCAGGAGCCGCUCUUAGGCCACAACAUACCCGGAAGCAGAGAAUGGGAUAUUAUAGAAACUGAGGAGCAUUAUAAGAGCCGAUGGAGAUCAAUUAGGAUUCUGUAUCUUACUAUGUUUCUUAGCAGUGUAGGAUUUUCUAUUGUGUUAAUGUCAAUAUGGCCAUAUCUCCAAAAGAUUGAUCAGACUGCCGAUGCAAGUUUUUUGGGCUGGGUUAUUGCUUCUUUCAGCCUUGGCCAAAUGGUAGCUUCACCUAUAUUUGGUUUGUGGUCUAACUAUCGACCAAGAAAAGAGCCUCUUACUGUUUCCAUUUUCAUUUCGGUGGCAGCCAACUGCCUCUAUGCAUAUGUCCAGGUUCCAGCUUCUCAUAAUAAAUACUACAUGUUGGUUGCUCGUGGAUUGGUGGGAUUUGGAGCAGGUAAUAUGCAUGCAUGUAUAUUUUUGGUUGUGUUGGACUCACAUUCAUCCUGACAUUUAUGGCCUUCUCUCAUCUAGGGUCACCUCUUCUCAAUCUCCUAUACGACAUUCAACAUACAGAUGUCUCAUUGCAAAUAUCUUUCCUAUCAUUUUGCCUUUGCUCAUGAUGUUCCCAUUACCUAUAGUUUCUCUCUUCUGUUCCCAUGAUUCUUCAUCCUUCAAGAUUCAGUUCAAGUUCCACCUCUUCCAUGAAGCUUUCUUAGGCUACACUACUGCUUCUCCAACAUGUCUCUGGCAUUUGCUUAUAUACUGUUUUGCACUGUUUUCAUCCCUUAUCACCAACUAGCUAGUAAACUUAGUGUAAUUAGAGACAAUCUCUGACUUUUGAAAAUAUUCUCUAGCCCCUAGCAGAGUCUCUUCAACAUAAAUGCUCAGCAAAUUUUUUUGACUCAAAUUUUUAGGAUUUUUUUUUUAUAAACAUGCAGAGUAUGUAGCAUAUUUCUUUGAAAACAAUGUAGCAAUUAGUAGGACUCCAUUCACUCAAUGCUUUCUCGGUAUUUAAUGAUGAAAAAAGUUUAAGUUUCCUGUAUGCCAUUUUUUCAUUCAUUCACAUCUUUAAUUGUGUUUUCACAAUACUAAAAGUAAUAUUUUCCAUUAAUUGAUUCAUUUGUUCGCUAUACAUGCCUUGUAUAAUCAUAAAGAGGAAGCAGUAACUAUGUUGUAGGUUAAUAUUUCUUCUUCUGUAUAGAGCCAAAUUAAGUCGAAUUUUUAUAAACUGGAGAAUAUUUUCUUUUACUUUGUAUUAUUGUGUCUUUUCUUAGGAAAUGUAGCUGUUAUUAGAUCAUAUAUUGCUGGUGCUACCUCUCUUCAGGAAAGAACAAGUUCCAUGGCAAACACAAGUGCAUGUCAAGCAUUAGGUUUUAUUCUAGGUCCAGUUUUUCAGACUUGUUUCGCACUCAUUGGAGAAAAGGGCGUGACAUGGGAUACCAUUAAGCUGCAGAUAAACAUGUACACAGCACCAGUUUUACUUGGCGCCUUCCUGGGAAUUUUAAAUAUUAUUCUGAUUCUUACUGUAUUAAGCAAGUACAGAUGAAGUUCAGAUCCCCCAAGGAAAUAUUGAUCAAGUUGCUGUUGUGGCCACCAAUGUUCUGUUUUUUGUGAUUCUGUUUAUCUUUGCCCUUUUUGAAACCAUUGUUACUCCAUUAACAAUGGAUAUGUAUGCCUGGACCAGAGAACAAGCUGUGUUAUAUGAUGGCAUAAUACUUGCUGCUCUUGGAGUUGAGGCAGUUAUUAUUUUCAUGGGGAUAAAAUUACUUUCCAAAAAGGUUGGCGAGCGUGCUAUUCUGCUGGGAGGACUCAUUGUUAUAUGGGUUGGCUUCUUUAUCUUGUUACCUUGGGGACAUCAGUUUCCCAAAAUACAGUGGGAAGAUUUACAUAAUAAUUCAAUCCCUAAUACCACAUUUGGAGAAAUAAUUAUUACUCUUUGGAAGAUUCCAAGAGAAGAUCACAAUGAAGGACCAACUGGUUGCCCAGUUGAACAAGCCUGGUGCCUCUACACCCCCAUGAUCCAUCUGGCCCAGUUCCUCACAUCAGCUGUGCUAAUUGGAAUAGGCUAUCCAUCCUGCAAUGUUAUGUCAUAUACAUUAUAUUCAAAAAUUCUGGGGCCAAAACCUCAGGGUAUGUACAUGGGCUGGUUAACAGCGUCUGGAAGUGCAGCACGGAUUCUUGGACCUGUCUUCAUCAGUCAAGUGUACGCUGCCUGGGGUCCACGAUGGGCUUUCAGCCUUGUGUGUGGAAUCGUGGUGCUCACCAUCACACUCCUGGGUGUGGUUUACAGAAGACUCAUUGCUUUUUCUGUAAGGCAUGGAAGGAUUCAAGAAUAACCUAGCUAAGACUGUGGUGGAAAGUACUUGCUGUGUGGAACUUUCUCUUUUAAGGCUCUGCUAGAUGAUUGCUAAGAGUCAGUUUCCUAAAGUCAGGUUGUAGAUAUUGCAUAUGUUGAAUAACAAGAACAUAUAUUGAAUAAAAUAGGGAAUUCUGUGUGUAAUUAUGAAUAGCAAGAUAAUAUAAAAAUUCUGGAUCAUAGUUUCCUUAUCUCAAAAAAGAAAUAGUCUUCAUAUGACAUUUUUUGGGGGGUGGCAUAAAGUCAUGAGUGAAUAGACAGUGGUCUAUAAAUGUGAAGUUAUACUCUUAAGUCAAACUGCAGAGGCGUCAUUAAAAUAACAAGAGAAUAUGCAGUGAAAUCAUAAGGAGAGUUCUGUAUGAAUUACCUGUAAUAGAAUGAAAUUAUAGAAAUCUUUUACCUAAUAGAGGUACUUUUAUUCACAGCUAUCUCCUUUUUAUUUAUUAAAAAAUGCAUUUUCUGUUAUUAUAAAGUUUUCCUUAUGAAGUAAAAUCAUGACUUAAAUUUUAUACUUACCAUGCCUGCCAUCCUCCCUUAGCUUCUAUAAGUCAUGAUUUUUAAUACUACACUUUCCGUCUUAUUUUAGUUCAGGAUCUUACUAAUUAACCCCUAAGUUAAUGGAUGUGUAUGAAUAAUGCUCAUAUUUGAGCAAUAAAGAGGAUUAAGAGAUUAAGAUGGAUUUUGCUACCUGUAGUACAGAUAACUACUUUUUUCUUUCAAGUCCUAAUAAAUAAUUCACUUUAGAAACAUAAGCCAGAUAUGUGUUAUUGUAUACAUAUACCGAACAGCAAACUGUUAAAAUUAUUGGCAUUUUCUAAUUCCCUUAAAUUCUAGAGAAAAACUAUUACCUUAUUUAUUUUUUCUCUCUCAGUAGUGGUAGGGAAGACCCAACAGUUUUCAAUCUGUGUCUGCAUAGCUACUCAGAACUGCAGAAUUUUAAAUUUGGAUAAGCCCGACAGCCCCAAUAUAGGCAGGCUAAUAAAUCUGAGGUAAAAUAGCUGUAAUCUGACAGUUUACCGAGUUUACUAGAAAUUGGCUAAAUCACAUUAUGUACACUUUACUACCUCACAUAAGUUGAAUGCUGCUAAAAGGGACUAGUACAGAACUAUCUAUAUGGAUAAUCAGUAUUAUCCAAAAAUGCAAAAAUAUUUCUAAAUACUUUUCCAAAUGUUUCCUACUCUAAGUUAUAAAUAUUUCAAAUCUAAGAGUAAACACUAUAAUUUGCACUUUA